GAUGAACGCUGGCGGCGUGCCUAAUACAUGCAAGUCGAGCGAACAGACGAGGAGCUUGCUCCUCUGACGUUAGCGGCGGACGGGUGAGUAACACGUGGAUAACCUACCUAUAAGACUGGGAUAACUUCGGGAAACCGGAGCUAAUACCGGAUAAUAUAUUGAACCGCAUGGUUCAAUAGUGAAAGACGGUUUUGCUGUCACUUAUAGAUGGAUCCGCGCCGCAUUAGCUAGUUGGUAAGGUAACGGCUUACCAAGGCAACGAUGCGUAGCCGACCUGAGAGGGUGAUCGGCCACACUGGAACUGAGACACGGUCCAGACUCCUACGGGAGGCAGCAGUAGGGAAUCUUCCGCAAGAGGCGAAAGCUUGACGGAGCAACGCCGCGUGAGUGAUGAAGGUCUUCGGAUCGUAAAACUCUGUUAUUAGGGAAGAACAAAUGUGUAAGUAACUAUGCACGUCUUGACGGUACCUAAUCAGAAAGCCACGGCUAACUACGUGC
RNAcentral lists this ribosomal RNA (498 nucleotides) under uncultured bacterium. RNAcentral describes it as "partial 16S ribosomal RNA". It matches the Rfam family "Bacterial small subunit ribosomal RNA", at positions 28 to 508 of the family's 1533-position model. The record is from RNAcentral.